This 248-nucleotide ribosomal RNA is filed under the name uncultured bacterium. Its description in RNAcentral is "partial 16S ribosomal RNA". It matches the Rfam family "Bacterial small subunit ribosomal RNA", at positions 524 to 769 of the family's 1533-position model. The record is from RNAcentral.
UACGGAGGGUGCAAGCGUUAUCCGGAUUUACUGGGUUUAAAGGGUGUGUAGGCGGGCAUUUAAGUCUGGGGUGAAAUCUCCGAGCUCAACUCGGAAACUGCCUUGGAUACUAUUUGUCUUGAAUUAUGUUGAGGUUGGCGGAAUAUAACAUGUAGCGGUGAAAUGCAUAGAUAUGUUAUAGAACACCGAUUGCGAAGGCAGCUAACUAAGCAUAUAUUGACGCUGAGGCACGGAAAAGCGUGGGGGAU